CAAUUUUAAAACUAUUUAGCUUAACAUUCACAAAAUUUAAUAUUUAUCAGCAGGAGUAAAAUGUCUCCAAAAAGUAGCACGUGCCUAACUUUACAAAAUAUUUUAAUUCUCACUGGCUUUCCAGAGGACAUAUCCUCUCCAUAAUAAAUCUUUCACCUUUCCUUGAGUACAACUAGCACUUAGGGCCACUUACAAGUCUGUGCAAUACAUGGUUACAUUCAGCUAAUUUUUUUACUCCUUUUUUUCUAUUCCCACAAAAUAAAAUAGUAUAUUUUACACCCACUGAUAAUUCCACUGUUAGGGUCUGGUCUGACAUAAUUCUAUAACAAUUCUUGGCACACCUAUACCAUGGACUCUAUAUGCUUACACUUUAUUUUUUAAAAAGAGUACAUUUAGAGCCACCCAAAAUGGGCUUCUUAAUUAGCUUGCCCAUACCCUGAAUUUACAGAAGAAAAUAUUUUCACCAUGAAAAUGAGUAUUUGGAUUAAUUUAUAGAUAAUCUGACUAAAUAAAAAAUACCUGAAAAUCAACCAAUCUAUUUCAGGGUUAACUGAUAAGAGGAGAGGAUGAAGGAUGAACAUUUUUUGAUAUGGAAAUCUCAAUAAAAACUUAAGGAACCUGAAAAAUCUGUAUAGUUUAGAAAACAUCUAUAUAUAUUAGUGAUACAAAGAAGCAGCCUUUUCUAACAUGGCUCAGAUAUCACUGAAAAAUCAAACAAAAAAGAUUAAUCUAUUUUUAACUAGAGGAAAAAAACUAAACAACAGGAAACUUUUUCCCUAUCCCCAAUUUAGGACAGGUUCCAGACAGGCACUGAAGAAAUAAAAUAGAAAAAUGUAAUAGGCUUGGGAACUAUGUGGAGAUCAAGGCAUGAGGAGAUGGUAAAAUGCAGAAUACAAGCAUUUAUUGAUUUUCAAUUACUAAAAAUUGAAAACAUAGCACUGUCAAAUUAGCAGCUCCUUAUAGACAAAUCAACUAUUCUAUUUUUAGAGAGGAAAGGGCAACCAACAGAGACUCAUUCCAUCUAUAUCAACAAGGCACUAUGGGUUAACUCACUGGUGAACAACAAGAACGAAUCCAAGUCAGCAUGGGUAGUCAGCAAACAUGACACCCACGUGGUCCCAGAAAAAUUCACAUCAAAAGCUUGACUACCAAAAAUCCAGGAAAUCCUUUGAUUUAAAAAAAAAAAUUUAAGAUGCAUAAAAAUUUAUUUCUCAUUCAUUUUGAUUCAAUUCAGUAAUCAUGUAUUAAGAGCUUACUGUCUACUAUAUACAAACCACUGUGCUAAGCAGUGAGUGAAGUCAAAUGCAAGAAUUGUUAGUAAAAUCACUAAAACCUGGCAACUACAUACAGGCAGUAAAAGAGGAAAAAAAAAAAAAGUCAAGAAUGGUACCUAGACUGUAAAUCUGUGUGAUCUCCUUUGGUGAAGAUUAAAGUUUGAAGGAGUGGGUUUUGGACUAUGUUGAAUCUGAAAUUCAAGUAGAGAUUUUUAUUUUGUCACUUUUUUAUAUCUUUGCUAUUUCCUCCAUUAGACUGAGCAACAACUUUCCCACUCUUUUUGUAUCCCUAGCAUUAAGCAUAGUGUCUAUCUGACACAUAGUGUGCACUUAAUAAAUGCUAACUGACUGAUAAUCAGCUAGCCAGUAAUAUAG
RNAcentral lists this long non-coding RNA (1649 nucleotides) under Sarcophilus harrisii (Tasmanian devil). RNAcentral describes it as "lncRNA (ENSSHAG00000030285.1)". Lineage: Eukaryota; Metazoa; Chordata; Mammalia; Dasyuromorphia; Dasyuridae. The record is from RNAcentral.